GACGAACGCUGGCGGCGUGCUUAACACAUGCAAGUCGAACGGAAAGGCCCUGCUUUUGUGGGGUGCUCGAGUGGCGAACGGGUGAGUAACACGUGAGUAACCUGCCCUUGACUUUGGGAUAACUUCAGGAAACUGGGGCUAAUACCGGAUAGGAGCUCCUGCUGCAUGGUGGGGGUUGGAAAGUUUCGGCGGUUGGGGAUGGACUCGCGGCUUAUCAGCUUGUUGGUGGGGUAGUGGCUUACCAAGGCUUUGACGGGUAGCCGGCCUGAGAGGGUGACCGGCCACAUUGGUACUGAGAUACGGCCCAGACGCCUACGGGAGGCAGCAGUGGGGAAUAUGGCACAAUGGGCGGAAGCCUGAUGCAGCAACGCCGCGUGCGGGAUGACGGCCUUCGGGUUGUAAACCGAUUUCGCCUGUGACGAAGCGUGAGUGACGGUAAUGGGUAAAGAAGCACCGGCUAACUACGUG
This 468-nucleotide ribosomal RNA is filed under the name uncultured bacterium. RNAcentral describes it as "partial 16S ribosomal RNA". It matches the Rfam family "Bacterial small subunit ribosomal RNA", at positions 28 to 507 of the family's 1533-position model. The record is from RNAcentral.